AGCGAUAGAAAUUCAAGCAAAAACAUUUGGACCUGACCAUGUUAAUAUUGCGACAACGUACAACAAUCUGGGAUUGGUUUACAGUAAUAUGGAAGAGCACGAGAAAGCAAAAGAUUUAAAUGAACGAGCGAUGAAAAUUAAAACGAAUCAUUUGGACCUGAGCAUGUUAAUAUUACGAGAAAGCAAUCACGUUGUAAUUUACUGUGAUGGGAAAAACACGAAAAACCAACAUAAAAAAGUUUACAACGAGCGAUACAAAUUGAAAGUGAAGCACUUGACCUCUAUAUUUAUCUUUUAUUUGCCAACAGCUAAAAGUCUUUCGUAUUUGAGAAGCGUUUCACGAGAUAAAGGAAGAAAAAAGGACAAAAGACAGUUGUUUUUUCAGUUUAGAGCGAUAGAAAUUGAAAGAAAAGCAUUUGCACCUGAACAUGUACUACAAUAACAUACAACAAUCUUCAUUUGGUUAUAAACAAACUAUAGAUAUUGAAAUUGAAGCAUUUAGACUUCUAUUUAUCUUUUAUUUGCUAGAAGCUAAAAUACUCCUGUCUUUGAGAAAACGUACAAGGAGAUAGAAGAAGAGGAAAUGAAUUUGUAGGUCAUUUUCAAUGGAGAAGAAAAUCAAUUUCUCUUUUCAUUUUAGGUAUGUCUUCUUUAUACUAAAGCUGAUUAGAAACAGUUGUAUUGUAGAUUUCUUUUCACAAAGGUUCAAAUAACAACGGUUGUAUAUUUAUAAAAGGUAUAAGUAUAUUAUUGACAAUAUUCAAA
This is a long non-coding RNA of Xenia sp. Carnegie-2017, 765 nucleotides long. RefSeq lists it as uncharacterized. The transcript has 2 exons. The record is from RefSeq and is a predicted model, not a curated record. Lineage: Eukaryota; Metazoa; Cnidaria; Anthozoa; Malacalcyonacea; Xeniidae.